Molecule: ribosomal RNA, 558 nt
Filed under: Rhodella violacea
Lineage: Eukaryota; Rhodophyta; Rhodellophyceae; Rhodellales; Rhodellaceae
Description: SSU rRNA
Rfam family: Eukaryotic small subunit ribosomal RNA
Source: RNAcentral
AACCUGGUUGAUCCUGCCAGUAGUCAUAUGCUUGUCUCAAAGAUUAAGCCAUGCAUGUCUAAGUAUAAACGCUUCUAUACUGUGAAACUGCGAAUGGCUCAUUAAAACAGUUAUAGUUUAUUUGAUAGUACUGAUUACUCGGAUAACCCAAGUAAUUCUUGAGCUAAUACGUGCCUCAACGCCCAACUCACGAAGGGUGGUAUUUAUUAGCUUUAAACCAAUCGGCUUGCCGUUUUUGGUGAAUCAUAGUAACUUUUCGGAUCGCAUGGCUUCGGCCGGCGACAAAUCAUUCAAAUAUCUGCCCUAUCAACUUUGGAUGGUAAGGUAGUGGCUUACCAUGGUGGUAACGGGUAACGGAGAAUUGGGGUUCGAUUCCGGAGAGGGAGCCUGAGAAACGGCUACCACAUCCAUGGAAGGCAGCAGGCGCGCAAAUUACCCAAUCCUGACUCAGGGAGGUAGUGACAAAAAAUAACGGUAGAGCGCCCUCGUGGUGUCUCUAAUUGGAAUGAGUACAAUUUAAAAUUGUUAACGAGUAUCCAUUGGAGGGCAAGUCUGGUG